Ornithodoros turicata is the source of this 2514-nucleotide RNA transcript. RefSeq lists it as uncharacterized. NCBI's taxonomy places the organism in Eukaryota, Metazoa, Arthropoda, Arachnida, Ixodida, Argasidae. The record is from RefSeq and is a predicted model, not a curated record. The transcript has 18 exons.
UCUGGUUACGAACACACUCUUGUGUGGAUCUCCCGAGUUCACGGUGCGGAGUCUUUACAAGAAGAGCAGAGCAUGGAAGACAGCGAUAACACCUAUUUCCGGGACAACGAGAAAAGUGGCAUUGAAUAUUACUUCAUGAUCGUGCUUGUAGCUACUGUUCUGCUUCUGCUUAUUAUGCCACUCACGAUCAAGCUAAUUCGCAUAAAAACUUCGUACCAGUCCGACAUGCUCCUCAGAGACCAGGAAAUGAACAUCCAUCGAGCAAAUCUGCGCGACAACUCUACCAUGUACUUAUGCAACUCGGUGUUCUGUUUUUCACAAAGUCAAGCGAUUCACGAUCUGUUAACGUUCGAGAAGGAUCCAUGCCGUGAUUUCUACGACUUCAGCUGUCAAGCUAAGCCGCAGCCACUGAAGGCCGAGGCGCGAACGGCCCUCUGGGAAAACAUGCUGACCUUUCUGGAAGGUUAUCAGCGUCUAUAUUUACACUUGACAGGCAUCAAAGAAUCGAAAGUAUCCUUCCACACGAAGCUUUACUCCUACUUCAUGUCCUGCAAAACCGCAGCCGCUACCCAGGAAUCUGAGUACUCCGAUGCAGUGCAGUACAUCCUGAAAGAGCUCGGCCUCCGAGAAUGGCCCGUGAAAUCGGUGGCGGGACUGCCUAGAAUAUCUUACGUUGCUGGGAAGCUUGGGCAGUUGCUCUACACAUUCCCACUGGUAACGUUAUCGAUGGAGGUGAAAGACAACCAACGAUAUAUCAAGCUCGCCGAACCGCGGAUGUUGAGAGAUGUAUUUGAAAUGGACAAGUACCACUUCAAAGAGGAGAAUUUCAUUGCAUACUUGAAGAGAACAAUGCCAACAGACAAUAGCGAAGUGCCGAAUCGUAGGGCUUGGAAUAAAGCCGUACGCUUAGCGUUGGAGUUUGAAGGGAAAAUAACACAGGCGAAGGAUAAUGCGACGUUGUUUGGAAACUGUUCCAGCACUGCCGUUCGAAGUAUAAAGGAUAUGCCGGAGAGUGAAGUGUGGGACUGGGAAGAAUUCCUCAGAGUAAUUUUGAAGGACAUAUUCGACGACUUCCUUUCUCCCUCCACUCACAUCUUCUACUCUAAGGCGUAUGUUGAGCAUCUGAUGAAGGUUUUCCGCCAUGCAGAAUUGGAGCAAGCAAUGAAUAUGCUUGGCUACUGGGGCAUCUUUAACUUCCUCCCCAUGACUGUAGCCGACAAUUUAGACGAGCCUUUCGUACAAGAUAUCUUAAUUAUUCGUUAUGGAGGAAAGCUGGAGAAUUUAUGCGCAGAAACGACGUUCAAUAUUUUCAAGUUUUACUUCACAUGGAUGCUUUUGAGGUCCACGUUCCAAGUGACAAGUGAUCAGUUGUACAAGCAUACCAAAUCAAUGUACUUUCGAGCAAUUCUCGAGUUCUUCAGGAUCACCUCGUCACCCAUCAGCAAGCUCAUUUCAGCUAAACUGCAGAACACGACGGUGUCCACUCAUCCUGCAGCUAACACUUGCACGGACGAAGCAAGCUGCGCGGAGUAUUAUAAAUACAUUCCCAAUCUAUCAGGGAGGUCGAAAUACAAGCAGUUUCUGCUUUCCAAAGCAAUGCUCGCUAACUUGGACUUGAAGCUCCUAGCUAAGGAACCAGGAUGGAGAGACACCACUUUUGACGCGGAAGCCCUCUACGUGUAUGGCUCUAACACACUAUAUGUACCACUGUCCCUGGCUAGACAAGAAUUCAUCGGUGACGAGAGCUUCAUGUACGUGGGCACCUAUGGCAAGACGAUUGUGGAGCCUAUCGUGUCACAGUACCUUAGAAAAGAUGGCGAGACAUAUCGGCGGCACGUUGACCACAUCAGAAGACAUCAAGUCAACGACGGAACCCCCGAACACAUGACUGCAGCCCACAGCAUUCCACUUCCGCCGCCACCUCUCCCUCAAACCACAACAGCAACCACUAGGAGUCCUUCAGCACAUCAAGCUGAUUCGACGACAUCCGAAGAUGCUCGUCCACAGCGACCACAUCGGGUUAGAAAACGUCCAGCGCGGUACAAUGACUAUGUUUCAGACUAAAAGGGGGGAGUGUGCCAGUUUUGUUUUAUCUUAAAAGGGCGGAGCUUUAUAUAUGUCCAAUAUAGGAUACACUCGUUCAGCCCCAUCGGGAUUAUCAAGAGCGCGUGCGCUCGUUCGCGUUGCCUACGUCUCCAUGUUCCCCUCUAGGUCUACGACGGCAUAACAGUAAUGAUAAUAGGGGGGAUAUACAUUUAUGAUAAUAGGAAGGUUGCUGCAGCAGAUCGCGAUAGAGAACAGAUGGCUCGUAGAAGCAGCUCUCUCGAGGAGAAUUGCAUUCUGAUUAUGAGUAAUGCUUCUUGCGAGAGAAAAAAAAAAAAAAAGCAGCGUUGUUCUGCUCCGUCUUCAAAUGGUUUGCAUGCACCAGCUGAGACUGCUGUGGAACUAUACAAGAAGGAACCCGGUUCCGAAGAGCCAACACAAUGGGAGAAAUCUCUGAGCUGCAUUGCAACA